CCUGCCCCUAGAGGUGUUGCAGGUGAGGCUGCUGUGUCUCAUGGGCAUCAGUAGGUGACAGAGAGGAGAGAAGCUACGUCUACACUCAGUGUUCGGACCUGCGAAUAUCUGAAUGAGUAGUCACCUAAGAUA
RNAcentral lists this small nucleolar RNA (132 nucleotides) under Meriones unguiculatus (Mongolian gerbil). Its description in RNAcentral is "Small nucleolar RNA SNORA17 (ENSMUGG00000024550.1)". It matches the Rfam family "Small nucleolar RNA SNORA17". Rfam says of the family: snoRNA ACA 17 belongs to the H/ACA family of snoRNAs and is predicted to guide pseudouridylation of the 28S rRNA at positions U4659 and U4598. It shares the same host gene together with ACA43. Lineage: Eukaryota; Metazoa; Chordata; Mammalia; Rodentia; Muridae. The record is from RNAcentral.